UACGUAGGGGGCAAGCGUUGUCCGGAAUCAUUGGGCGUAAAGAGCGUGUAGGCGGUUCAGUAAGUCUGCUGUGAAAGUCCAAGGCUCAACCUUGGGAUGCCGGUGGAUACUGCUGAGCUAGAGUACGGAAGAGGCGAGUGGAAUUCCCGGUGUAGCGGUGAAAUGCGCAGAUAUCGGGAGGAACACCUAUUGCGAAGGCAGCUCGCUGGGACGUCACUGACGCUGAGACGCGAAAGCGUGGGGAGCAAACAGG
Molecule: ribosomal RNA, 253 nt
Filed under: Patulibacter sp.
Lineage: Bacteria; Bacillati; Actinomycetota; Thermoleophilia; Solirubrobacterales; Patulibacteraceae
Also listed under: 1 other name
Description: partial 16S ribosomal RNA
Rfam family: Bacterial small subunit ribosomal RNA
Source: RNAcentral